AGUGAAAACUUGACUCUCAUAUUGACUCCCCAGAUGGACACACAGGUGAUUGAGGUUAUGGUCUCAUCACCACGAGGUAUUGUGUCCAUCUCCACUGGGGAUCGACCGGAUCAGGUGUUGAUGUGGGCGAGAGGGUCUGUUUGUGUGUUUCCACAGGACCAGACGGAACCUCUUUGGGUGCCGGAGAGAUUGGUGAGACGCUGCAAGAAUGAGGCUCCUGAUCCAGUUGCCCCUGUGGAUGUGGUGGAUGAUCCCACAAGCACAAAGGAUGGAGCCGAGAUGAGAGAUCCUUUUGGUAUUCCAGAAGCCGAUACCAGCUCGACAUGA
RNAcentral lists this long non-coding RNA (327 nucleotides) under Mus musculus (house mouse). Its description in RNAcentral is "long non-coding RNA chr4:22740348-22740675". Lineage: Eukaryota; Metazoa; Chordata; Mammalia; Rodentia; Muridae. The record is from RNAcentral.